This 450-nucleotide ribosomal RNA is filed under the name uncultured bacterium. RNAcentral describes it as "partial 16S ribosomal RNA". It matches the Rfam family "Bacterial small subunit ribosomal RNA", at positions 354 to 796 of the family's 1533-position model. The record is from RNAcentral.
GUGGGGAAUAUUGGACAAUGGGCGAAAGCCUGAUCCAGCCAUGCCGCGUGUGUGAAGAAGGUCUUCGGAUUGUAAAGCACUUUAAGUUGGGAGGAAGGGCAGUAAGUUAAUACCUUGCUGUUUUGACGUUACCGACAGAAUAAGCACCGGCUAACUUCGUGCCAGCAGCCGCGGUAAUACGAAGGGUGCAAGCGUUAAUCGGAAUUACUGGGCGUAAAGCGCGCGUAGGUGGUUUUGUAAGUUGGAGGUGAAAUCACCGGGCUCAACCUGGGAACUGCCUCCAAAACUGCAUGACUAGAGUACGGGAGAGGGGAGUGGAAUUUCCUGUGUAGCGGUAAAAGGCAUAGAUAUAGGGAGGAACACCAGUGGCGAAGGCGCCUAGCUGGACUGAUACUGACACUGAGGUGCGAAAGCGUGGGGAGCAAACAGGAUUAGAUACCCCAGUAGUCC